GAUGAACGCUAGCUACAGGCUUAACACAUGCAAGUCGAGGGGAAACGGCAUUGAGUGCUUGCACUCUUUGGACGUCGACCGGCGCACGGGUGAGUAACGCGUAUCCAACCUUCCCAUUACUGUGGGAUAACCUGCCGAAAGGCAGACUAAUACCGCAUAGUCUUCGAUGACGGCAUCAGAUUUGAAGUAAAGAUUUAUCGGUAAUGGAUGGGGAUGCGUCUGAUUAGCUUGUCGGCGGGGUAACGGCCCACCAAGGCUACGAUCAGUAGGGGUUCUGAGAGGAAGGUCCCCCACAUUGGAACUGAGACACGGUCCAAACUCCUACGGGAGGCAGCAGUGAGGAAUAUUGGUCACUGGACGGAAGUCUGAACCAGCCAAGUAGCGUGCAGGAUGACGGCCCUAUGGGUUGUAAACUGCUUUUGGAUGGGGAUAAAGUUAGGGACGUGUCCCUAUUUGCAGGUACCAUACGAAUAAGGACCGGCUAAUUCCGUG
Molecule: ribosomal RNA, 492 nt
Filed under: uncultured bacterium
Lineage: Bacteria
Description: partial 16S ribosomal RNA
Rfam family: Bacterial small subunit ribosomal RNA
Source: RNAcentral